GCCCGGUCCCAUUCCGAACCCGGAAGCUAAGGCCUGGCACGGCGAUGGUACUGCACCCGACAGGGUGUGGGAGAGUAGCACGCCGCCGCAC
RNAcentral lists this ribosomal RNA (91 nucleotides) under Bifidobacterium breve. RNAcentral also lists the same sequence under 1 other name. Lineage: Bacteria; Bacillati; Actinomycetota; Actinomycetes; Bifidobacteriales; Bifidobacteriaceae. The record is from RNAcentral.